This 492-nucleotide ribosomal RNA is filed under the name uncultured bacterium. RNAcentral describes it as "partial 16S ribosomal RNA". It matches the Rfam family "Bacterial small subunit ribosomal RNA", at positions 29 to 507 of the family's 1533-position model. The record is from RNAcentral.
AGUGAACGCUGGCGGUAGGCCUAACACAUGCAAGUCGAACGGCAGCACAGUAAGAGCUUGCUCUUACGGGAGGCGAGUGGCGGACGGGUGAGGAAUACAUCGGAAUCUACUUUUUCGUGGGGGAUAACGUAGGGAAACUUACGCUAAUACCGCAUACGACCUACGGGUGAAAGCAGGGGAUCUUCGGACCUUGCGCGAUUGAAUGAGCCGAUGUCGGAUUAGCUAGUUGGCGGGGUAAAGGCCCACCAAGGCGACGAUCCGUAGCUGGUCUGAGAGGAUGAUCAGCCACACUGGAUCUGAGACACGGUCCAGACUCCUACGGGAGGCAGCAGUGGGGAAUAUUGGACAAGGGGGGCAAGCCUGAUCCAGGCAUACCGCGUGGGCGAAGAAGGCCUUCGGGUUGUAAAGCCCUGUUGUUGUGAAAGAAAAGCAGCAGGUUAAUACCCCGCUGUUCUGACGGUACCAAAAGAAUAAGCACCGGCUAACUUCGUG